This 391-nucleotide unclassified non-coding RNA is filed under the name soil metagenome. Its description in RNAcentral is "partial contains 5.8S ribosomal RNA, internal transcribed spacer 2, and large subunit ribosomal RNA". The stretch from base 1 to 122 matches the Rfam family "5.8S ribosomal RNA", at positions 35 to 154 of the family's 154-position model. The record is from RNAcentral.
GAUGAAGAACGUAGCGAAAUGCGAUACUUGGUGUGAAUUGCAGAAUCCCGUGAACCAUCGAGUCUUUGAACGCAAGUUGCGCCCGAAGCCAUUAGGCCGAGGGCACGCCUGCCUGGGCGUCACACGUCGUUGCCCCCCCAUCUACUCCUUCGGGAUUGCGGGGGGCGGAUGAUGGCCUCCCGUGCGCCUCGCCGCGCGGUUGGCAUAAAUGCCAAGUCCUCGGCGACGCACGCCACGACAAUCGGUGGUUGCGAAACCUCGGUUGCCCGUCGUGUGCGGUCGUCGCGCAUCGAGGGCUCGAAAAAAUUGCCUGGUUCCGGCUCGGCUUUCAACGCGACCCCAGGUCAGGCGGGGUUACCCGCUGAAUUUAAGCAUAUCAAUAAGCGGAGGA